UACUACCGAUUGUUUCCAGUUAAUGAGCGAUAUGGAUGAGUCCCGUGAUCGGCUUGUCCGUGAUCGUUGGGCUGAGAAGUUGGACAAAUUAUCUGGGGUAGAGGACGUAAAAGUCGUAACAAGGUAUCCGUAGGUGAACCUGCGGAUGGAUCAU
Molecule: ribosomal RNA, 154 nt
Filed under: Scrobicularia plana
Lineage: Eukaryota; Metazoa; Mollusca; Bivalvia; Cardiida; Scrobiculariidae
Description: partial 18S ribosomal RNA
Rfam family: Eukaryotic small subunit ribosomal RNA
Source: RNAcentral